UACGUAGGGUGCGAGCGUUAAUCGGAAUUACUGGGCGUAAAGCGUGCGCAGGCGGUUAUAUAAGACAGUUGUGAAAUCCCCGGGCUCAACCUGGGAACUGCAUCUGUGACUGUAUAGCUAGAGUACGGUAGAGGGGGAUGGAAUUCCGCGUGUAGCAGUGAAAUGCGUAGAUAUGCGGAGGAACACCGAUGGCGGAGGCAAUCCCCUGGACCUGUACUGACGCUCAUGCGACGAAAGCGUGGGGAGCAAACGAG
This 254-nucleotide ribosomal RNA is filed under the name uncultured bacterium. RNAcentral's name for it is "partial 16S ribosomal RNA". It matches the Rfam family "Bacterial small subunit ribosomal RNA", at positions 524 to 776 of the family's 1533-position model. The record is from RNAcentral.